RNAcentral lists this ribosomal RNA (497 nucleotides) under uncultured bacterium. RNAcentral's name for it is "partial 16S ribosomal RNA". It matches the Rfam family "Bacterial small subunit ribosomal RNA", at positions 28 to 507 of the family's 1533-position model. The record is from RNAcentral.
GAUGAACGCUGGCGGCGUGCCUAAUACAUGCAAGUCGAGCGAACGGACGAGAAGCUUGCUUUUCUGAUGUUAGCGGCGGACGGGUGAGUAACACGUGGAUAACCUACCUAUAAGACUGGGAUAACUUCGGGAAACCGGAGCUAAUACCGGAUAAUAUUUUGAACCGCAUGGUUCAAAAGUGAAAGACGGUCUUGCUGUCACUUAUAGAUGGAUCCGCGCUGCAUUAGCUAGUUGGUAAGGUAACGGCUUACCAAGGCAACGAUGCAUAGCCGACCUGAGAGGGUGAUCGGCCACACUGGAACUGAGACACGGUCCAGACUCCUACGGGAGGCAGCAGUAGGGAAUCUUCCGCAAUGGGCGAAAGCCUGACGGAGCAACGCCGCGUGAGUGAUGAAGGUCUUCGGAUCGUAAAACUCUGUCAUUAGGGAAGAACAUAUGUGUAAGUAACUGUGCACAUCUUGACGGUACCUAAUCAGAAAGCCACGGCUAACUACGUG